Molecule: ribosomal RNA, 470 nt
Filed under: uncultured organism
Description: partial 16S ribosomal RNA
Rfam family: Bacterial small subunit ribosomal RNA
Source: RNAcentral
ACUCCUGCGGGAGGCAGCAGUGGGGAAUAUUGCACAAUGGGCGCAAGCCUGAUGCAGCCAUGCCGCGUGUAUGAAGAAGGCCUUCGGGUUGUAAAGUACUUUCAGCGGGGAGGAAGGCGAUAAGGUUAAUAACCUUGUUGAUUGACGUUACCCGCAGAAGAAGCACCGGCUAACUCCGUGCCAGCAGCCGCGGUAAUACGGAGGGUGCAAGCGUUAAUCGGAAUUACUGGGCGUAAAGCGCACGCAGGCGGUCUGUCAAGUCGGAUGUGAAAUCCCCGGGCUCAACCUGGGAACUGCAUUCGAAACUGGCAGGCUAGAGUCUUGUAGAGGGGGGUAGAAUUCCAGGUGUAGCGGUGAAAUGCGUAGAGAUCUGGAGGAAUACCGGUGGCGAAGGCGGCCCCCUGGACAAAGACUGACGCUCAGGUGCGAAAGCGUGGGGAGCAAACAGGAUUAGAAACCCGAGUAGUCCC